This 225-nucleotide long non-coding RNA is filed under the name Lathyrus oleraceus (garden pea). Its description in RNAcentral is "Pisum sativum (pea) long non-coding RNA (PSAT_LNC010156)". Lineage: Eukaryota; Viridiplantae; Streptophyta; Magnoliopsida; Fabales; Fabaceae. The record is from RNAcentral.
GCCAAUCCCGGACCAUCCUAUCCUUCAAGUUCUGGGAAUCUUUACCCUCUUGAAAAAACACACAUUCUAACAAAAUGUUAUUAGGUUUAUCCUUUAAGGGGAACCUAAGCUGACGGCGAGCCAAGACAGGGUUGUAGUUAAUUCCACCACAUGUACCAAGAAGAGGCACAUUGGAGAAUUCACCACAAGAGUCAAUAAUUUGAAUGCCAUCAUACACACAGUUAU